UAAUUUGUAUAUUGAUUUUCAACUAAAUCGGAGAGCAGCACUAUUUAGGUAACCAAAAAAAAGCCAACCAAGCGAAGCGAACGGCUUUCUGGGUUCUAAGGACUGCUUUAUGAAUCAGUAAAAAAUAAAAUCAUUUUGUACGUAUUCAUAAUAAGUCUCUACGGGUGAUAUUUUUAUUCAAAUAAAAAAGUUGAUCAAUCGAUUUUUGAUUUCCUAAUUCAAAUUUGACAUGACAAAAAAAAAUUAAUCUGUCUGUUUGUUUGUCGAAGUCGAACCGUCUUGUGGGGUUAUAAAAAUUUAAAUAAAUAUUAUUUUAAUUAUUUUUACUGCUUAUUGAUUACUAACCCAACAUGGAUGAUGAUAUAGACAUCGAAGAACAUGAUUUGUUAGACAAUCCAGCCAUGAGAAACAUAUUUCCUGAUCUCUCUGUUGUAAAGAAAGAGUUGACUGGAUAUUUUGAGGAAGCUUCAACAAUAAAUUGUCAACCAAACACAUUUCAUAUUGAUAAACUGAUCAUACCAAAAAAUGAAGAGCAUGACCUUUUGCCAGAUUCAAAUAGUAUGCAGACAGGAAUAACACAGCCUCUUGAUAAUGCUUCUUUUCAAUCUGGAGUGUCUGUUAAUCAGAUAAACCAAACACCUUUUAAGACAAAUAAAAUCAUUUUGGGGUCAAAGCCAAGUCUGACUCAGAAUGUAGUAUGUGAAAAGGCUGACAGAGAUGUAUAUUCGGCACAGGUAAAAUUGAUUGAUAUUGAAGCCUACAUAAAAAACAGUGAAAGAUUCUGCAAUAUUUGUCUUAUACUAUUUCCUGAAAAAGAAGAUCUUGAUGUACAUACAACAUUAAAUCACAAACAGAUUAGUCUAUGCAAUAUGGCAAGAAAGAAGAAUACGAUAACUAUUGGAUCAGUCGUAAGAAAAUACAAAUGUGUUGAAUGUGGUGAAAUUUUUACACAGCAUAAUCAAUUAAGAAGGCAUUUGAUUAAUAUUCAUAGAAAAAACCACAAAAACAAUUGGACUGCCAGAAAACACAUUACGCACCAGUUAUCAUCAACAGAAACUAAAAUGAUAUCUGAAACAGAAUCGCAUGAAUGUUUUCAUUGUAAAGUUACAUUUUCUUCAAAAAAAUUGCUCAUUGAUCACAUCUAUAAAGUUUUACAAUCAAAACAAGUCAGUGAUAUUAAUGGUCCACAAGCUUUAACAACCUUAGGGAAACUAGCAGAAGAUAAGUUGAAAAAUAAUCUACAAGUAACUAAAAGGGUCUUGAGUAAGGAAAUGGGAGACUCUGAUUCUACACAUGGCACUAAAAUUAGACCCAUAAGACAGAAAAGAUAUGAAUCUGGUCAAAGAAAUGUGAACGGAAUACAGAAAAACAUUUUAAUAUUUAAAUGUAUUUACUGUUCUUAUAAUUUUUCACUUCUGAAGUUUUGCUUGAGUCAUAUUGAAAAUAAACACAAAGAUUUCAGUUUAAAGAAAAUAAAGCCAACAAAAUUUAAUGAGCAAUGUGAUCAUUGUUCAAAAAAAUUAGUUGAUUACAGAGUUUAUAAUUCACAUUUGCGAUUAUAUCACAAAGAAAAAAUUGAAAAAACGAUUAAAGUAUAUCCAAAACUAUGUUUACCGAAAAUAGACAUCAUAAUGCCUCUAACUGAAAAACCUAAAGUAAUGACUCAAGGAAAUAACUACAAUAAUUUGACUAUGAGAAGCUUAAAGGUUGAUCACUGUGAAAACCUUGAUUCUGAAGGUAAUAAACAAGGUGAGGAAUCCUAUUCAGACUGUAACGAGCAGCUUGUACUGAAAUCAAUUUUAUUUAAAUGUCUGCGAUGUGAUAUUCACUUUUUAUCAGCUAAAACUGCAAUGAAUCAUGCAGAUCAUAUGGAAUUGUUAAUUAACUGGAAAUGUUUAUCAUGCAAUAAAAUUUUUAAAAAAGUUGACGAAAAAUUACAUGUAAGGCAGCAUUCGUUUUCUGACAACUUCACAGUAUAUGAAUUUUCUGAGACUCAACUAUCACAAUUGUUAUAUAAAUGUUCCAAGUGUGCAAUCCAUUUUAAUGCGAAUGGUUUUGAACCACAUAUAAAAAAAUGUGAAAUUGUUGUGGCAGAAUCAGUUUAUUGCAAGAUUUGUGAUAUUCUUAUUGAUAGAUGUAUUGCUGGAACUCAUGAAGACUAUCAUCACAGGAGAAAAUUUAAACCAACUGACUUUACUAUAUUAUUAUCUGAACCUAUUGGUGCUGAAUCAGUGCAAAAACCAGAAACAAUACCCAUGGUUAAAAAGUUACCCAAAAAGAAGAUAAAGCAAACACGGGAUAGGAGUAAUUUCAAUCUAAAGUAUUGUCAAACAUGCAAUUCUUUUAUAAGAAUGAGAGGAGUUAAGCGUUUAGUUCAUUUGGAAUCACGCUGUGCACAUUUACCAGUUCAUAUUUGUAAAAUAUGUGGACUUACGUUUACAAACAAAUCUAUGGGCGCCCACAGAGCUAUGCAUUUAAAGAAAAAAGGCAUAAAAUUACAAGACUUUACAUUUUACUGCUUUAGAAAAAAUAAACAAAUUUCACCGCCCGUACCCAAAUAUCCGGAGUGUAAGAAUUGCAACGUUCAUUUCAUAUCCAAAGUUGCUGUAUUAAAUCACAUAUGCAGUGAAGAUUAUCUAACAUGCCACAUUUGUAAUAUAAAACUAUCCGAAGCAGUUUUUAAAUUACAUUUGUCAUUCCAUUACUAUUCAAUCACAAAUAAAAAUAAAAAAAUUAUACUGUACCAAAGUGAUGCAAUACAUUCAGGCGAACAACUGGAAGUGCGUGAAAUUAAACGUCCGCGACCACCUCCGAGAAAAAGAAAUUUGUCUGAACCAGGUCAUAGCUCGGAGGCAGAGAUCCAAGAACCAAAAUGCUCGGCAAGAUCUGAUCGGAAUCUGUCAAGUCAUACAGAAAGAUUACAUGAAGGACAGGGUGAUGAAUACCUGCAUGAAAACGAAAAUAAUUCUACCAUAGCGGAUGUCAAACCUGAACCUGAAAUUGCUUCUGAGGAGUGCAAACUUACAUCCUCAAAACAUAUAAUUUCUGUUGAAAAACAUUUAGUAAAUCAAAAAGCUGGACAAUCGGACUUUGUUCUCUUUGAAGUCCUAUAUUGUUGCACAAAUUGUCACAUCACAAUUGAUACUUAUGAUAAAGUGGUAGAACAUUGCCAAGAUCAUUUAUGUGGAGUGGAAAUUGAGAAAAAAGGAUGUGAAACCUGUAAAAUAACACUGGAUCGUAACAGCUAUGAUAACCACAUUAAAGAAUUCCACAGUGAUGAAGUAACAAGAAAAUCUUUUAAAUUACUGGAAUUUGACACAUUUUAUUUUACAGAAGAUAACAAAAUUUGGACUAAACAUAUAUUUCGAAAUAUUAGUCAAGAAAAGUCACUACAAAUUUUAAGAAGAUCGAUUUACAGAUAUGGUUGCAAAACUAAAAUGCAAGUAAUUCAAGAUGGAUCCCCUGAUUUAACAGUUUAUAAAUGUAAUAGCUGCUUUGUUAUUGUAGAUCCAGAAUCUGUAAUUAAACAUGUGGAAAAUUCAUGUUUUAAGUCACGUAAACAUCCAUGCUCAUAUUGUGGAUUACCUUUCAUGUCUUAUUUGUCGUUAAAAGAACAUUUAAGUGUCCACAAAACAAUGAACAUAACGCUGAAAUCGUACAGGAUUGUUUUAAUCAAUCAAGAGAAGGAUAAAAAGAGCAACAAAAUUAUAAAUGGUCACAACAAAUUCUUCCUUUUAUAUAAGUGUAGAAAAUGUAACUGUAUCCUUGAUCAGUUUCAACGUCAUAGUCAUACAUUGUGUUCCGAAAUGGAUUUGAAAAACUGUCCUGUAUGUGGCUUACUGUUUUACCAUUCUGACUAUAAACUCCAUAAGACUAAACAUGAAUUAGUUUAUAACUUUGAACCAAAGAACAUGAAAAUUAUUUUAUUUGGGGAUAGAGCUUCGAAGGAAGCAUCUCUGGAUUCCAUUGACCAAAAGACAUUCAAGGGCACAAUUGUGGACUUUACAUUUAUUCAAUGCUCAAAAUGCGGUGUAUGCCUGGAGAAAUCUCCAAUAACUACAAUAAACCAUAUUAAAUGCUAUGAAGACAACGAAAAAUCAAAAUGUCCAAAAUGUGAAAUGUAUGUUUUAAAACAUAAAUUUUCUCGUCACUCUAAAUUACACGAUAUUAAUGUUCAUUUUGUUAAAGAAAAUAUUAAUAUAAUACCUUACGAUCAUAAUGAACAGUUAAAAAAGUUUAUACCAGCCUCAUUAAAUCUAUCAAAUGAAGCAAAGAAUGCAAAUCAAACAAUAAACAGAAUUUCACAUCAAACGAAAGAAAAAAGUCCAAUACUACCAGAAAAAACAGUAAAAUUGUUUAAAUGUACUUGUGGGUUACAUUAUUUGGAUAAAAAUGGUAUAGACGAACAUUUUGGCCACUGCAAUCCUAAAACAUCUAAACAAUAUUGCUCUAAAUGCAAUCUUUUGUUUACUCCAUCCGUUUUAUUUACUCAUUUGUUGUUACAUCAUGGUGACAAAAAAUAUGUUUAUAAAUACAACAUUAUUGAAAUGUCUCAGAACAAAAAUCUAAUUAUAAAUAUAUACAAUUGUGCACAUUGUAGAACGCAUUUCAUAGAAUAUGAUAAAGCUUUAGAACAUUUUGGGAAUUGCGAAGACGUUGAAGUGGAAAGAAAAGAAUGUAUAAAAUGUAAGGUAUUUUUCCCUAUUGACUCUAUUGCAGAACAUGAGACUAAACAUCACAAUGAAAGCGUUGCAGAUAUUAACAUAAUAGAUGUUACUGACAAAAAGGACCAAAAUAAGGCAGAUGCAAAAUCUAUAGAUAAUGUAAUUGAUCAAGCGGAUAUUGUAAGAGAAACGAAAUAUAAUAUUUCUGAAGAGAGUCUAUCACAAAUUGAUUUAAGUCGGUAUGACAAUACUAUUUAUAAAUGCGAACCGUGUAACACCCAUUUUUUAACCGAACAUACUUUAAGACGACAUGUCGCCCAUGAUAGGCAUGUGUUAUCUCCUCAACAGACAUGUGAUUUUUGCAAAUUGAGUUUUUCUUUGCAGUCACUUACUAAACAUAUUUAUAUUCACCAUGAUAGAAUGAAGAUCAAUAAAAAUGAAUUUAUAAUCAAAACUAAUUAAAUCAAAAUUGUUGUAAAUAAUUUUGUUAAUAGAUUUUCUUAACUUUGUAAUGCAUGUAAAUAAAUAGGUAUAUUAAUAGAGGUAGUUCGAUUAAAUUUUUUGUUGAAAUAAGUACCUACAUCUUGCUGAUGACCAUUGCAAGGAUUAGAACUUUUAUUUGUAAUGGUUAUGUUGGACUGUUAAUAUUUUAUGUUAGAAAGUGACCUUCACAAAUGUUUGAUUAUUUUAGUUCAUUGUGGUAUGUUUGAUUUUAAUAAAAUGCAAUAAAUUGA
Molecule: long non-coding RNA, 5398 nt
Organism: Ostrinia nubilalis (European corn borer)
Lineage: Eukaryota; Metazoa; Arthropoda; Insecta; Lepidoptera; Crambidae
Exons: 3
Source: RefSeq, a predicted model, not a curated record